This 457-nucleotide ribosomal RNA is filed under the name Centipeda noxia. RNAcentral's name for it is "bacterial SSU rRNA". It matches the Rfam family "Bacterial small subunit ribosomal RNA", at positions 28 to 463 of the family's 1533-position model. Lineage: Bacteria; Bacillati; Bacillota; Negativicutes; Selenomonadales; Selenomonadaceae. The record is from RNAcentral.
GACGAACGCUGGCGGCGUGCUUAACACAUGCAAGUCGAACGGAGCGAAUGAAAGCUUGCUUUUAUAAGCUUAGUGGCAAACGGGUGAGUAACACGUAGACAACCUGCCGACAGGAUGGGGACAACAUUCCGAAAGGAAUGCUAAUACCGAACGAAGUGCAGGGGAGGCAUCUCCCCCGCAUGAAAGAUGGCCUCUUUUUAUGCUAUCACCUGUUGAUGGGUCUGCGUCUGAUUAGCUGGUAGGUGAGGUAACGGCUCACCUAGGCGACGAUCAGUAGCCGGUCUGAGAGGAUGAACAGCCACAUUGGGACUGAGACACGGCCCAGACUCCUACGGGAGGCAGCAGUGGGGAAUCUUCCGCAAUGGGCGCAAGCCUGACGGAGCAACGCCGCGUGAGUGAAGAAGGUCUUCGGAUCGUAAAGCUCUGUUGAUGGGGACGAACGUGCCUAAUGCGAAUA